ACUCCUACGGGAGGCAGCAGUGGGGAAUAUUGCACAAUGGGCGCAAGCCUGAUGCAGCCAUGCCGCGUGUAUGAAGAAGGCCUUCGGGUUGUAAAGUACUUUCAGCAGUGAGGAAGGUGAAGCGUUAAUAGCGGGCCUCAUUUGACGUUUAAGCUGCAGAAGAAGCACCGGCUAACUCCGUGCCAGCAGCCGCGGUAAUACGGAGGGUGCGAGCGUUAAUCGGAAUUACUGGGCGUAAAGCGCAUGCAGGUGGUUUGUUAAGUCAGAUGUGAAAGCCCGGGGCUCAACCUCGGAAUAGCAUUUGAAAACUGGCAGACUAGAGUACUUAGAGGGGGGUAGAAUUUCAGGUGUAGCGGUGAAAUGCGUAGAGAUCU
RNAcentral lists this ribosomal RNA (374 nucleotides) under uncultured bacterium. RNAcentral describes it as "bacterial SSU rRNA". It matches the Rfam family "Bacterial small subunit ribosomal RNA", at positions 335 to 699 of the family's 1533-position model. The record is from RNAcentral.